RNAcentral lists this ribosomal RNA (254 nucleotides) under uncultured bacterium. RNAcentral's name for it is "partial 16S ribosomal RNA". It matches the Rfam family "Bacterial small subunit ribosomal RNA", at positions 524 to 776 of the family's 1533-position model. The record is from RNAcentral.
UACGGGGGGGGCAAGCGUUGUUCGGAAUUACUGGGCGUAAAGGGCUCGUAGGCGGCCAACUAAGUCGGACGUGAAAUCCCUCGGCUUAACCGGGGAACUGCGUCCGAUACUGGAUGGCUUGAGGUUGGGAGAGGGAUGCGGAAUUCCAGGUGUAGCGGUGAAAUGCGUAGAUAUCUGGAGGAACACCGGUGGCGAAGGAGGCAUCCUGGACCAAUUCUGACGCUGAGUGAGCGAAAGCCAGGGGAGCAAACGGG